CAUCGUGCACAGGUUUGAGUGUU
RNAcentral lists this microRNA (23 nucleotides) under Drosophila mojavensis. RNAcentral describes it as "Dmo-Mir-955_5p (mature (guide))". Lineage: Eukaryota; Metazoa; Arthropoda; Insecta; Diptera; Drosophilidae. The record is from RNAcentral.